GAUGAACGCUGGCGGCGUGCCUAAUACAUGCAAGUCGAGCGAACAGAUAAGGAGCUUGCUCCUUUGACGUUAGCGGCGGACGGGUGAGUAACACGUGGGUAACCUACCUAUAAGACUGGGAUAACUUCGGGAAACCGGAGCUAAUACCGGAUAACAUUUGGAACCGCAUGGUUCUAAAGUGAAAGAUGGUUUUGCUAUCACUUAUAGAUGGACCCGCGCCGUAUUAGCUAGUUUGUAAGGUAACGGCUUACCAAGGCAACGAUACGUAGCCGACCUGAGAGGGUGAUCGGCCACACUGGAACUGAGACACGGUCCAGACUCCUACGGGAGGCAGCAGUAGGGAAUCUUCCGCAAUGGGCGAAAGCCUGACGGAGCAACGCCGCGUGAGUGAUGAAGGGUUUCGGCUCGUAAAACUCUGUUAUUAGGGAAGAACAAACGUGUAAGUAACUGUGCACGUCUUGACGGUACCUAAUCAGAAAGCCACGGCUAACUACGU
RNAcentral lists this ribosomal RNA (496 nucleotides) under uncultured bacterium. Its description in RNAcentral is "partial 16S ribosomal RNA". It matches the Rfam family "Bacterial small subunit ribosomal RNA", at positions 28 to 506 of the family's 1533-position model. The record is from RNAcentral.